Molecule: long non-coding RNA, 638 nt
Filed under: Homo sapiens (human)
Lineage: Eukaryota; Metazoa; Chordata; Mammalia; Primates; Hominidae
Description: HSALNT0322886
Source: RNAcentral
GCAACUUACGGUCCCCUUUCAUGCUGUGGUAGCUUUGUUCUUUCUCUCUUCACAGUAAAUCUUGCUGCUGCUCACUCUCUGGGUCUGCACUACCUUUAUGAGCUGUAACACUGUGAAGGUCUGCAGCUUCACUCCUGAAGCCAGCGAGACCAUGAACCCACCGGGAGGAACAAACAACUCCUGACGCGCCACCUUUAAGAGCCCUAACACUCACUGCAAAGGUCUGCAGCUUCGCUCCUGAAGUCAGAAAGACCACGAACCCACCGGGAGGAACAAACAACUCUGGACGCACCACCUUUAAGAGCUGUAACACUCACUGCGAAGGUCUGCGGCUUCACUCCUGAAGUCAAGCAAGACCACAAACCCACCGGAAGGAAAAAACUCCAGACACAUCUGAACAUCUGAAGGAACAAACUCCAGACAUACCAUCUGUAAGAACUGUAACACUUACCGCGAGGGUCCGCGGCUUCAUUCUUGAAGUCAGCCAGACCAAGAACCCACCGGGAGGAACCAAUUCCGGACACAGUAUGGUUGGUCCACAAGAGAGGAGCUCUUGGUAAUCUCUCAGAAAUAGAGCAAGACGCCAAAGAUAAAGGCCUGUUCAUCGCACUCAGGAAUUUCCUAAGGUUUCAUGUCCA